Molecule: long non-coding RNA, 889 nt
Filed under: Monodelphis domestica (gray short-tailed opossum)
Lineage: Eukaryota; Metazoa; Chordata; Mammalia; Didelphimorphia; Didelphidae
Description: lncRNA (ENSMODG00000038543.1)
Source: RNAcentral
AAAAAGUUCUCAUUUCUUUUAACUCUAAAUCUUCCUAUCUCUGACUAAUCUAUUUUCCUCUGAUUUCUCUUUCAGGGGAAGGACUCAAAAAUGGUUGAGACAGAAACAAGGUCUAGAGAUGGAAGCAAAAGGGAAAAGCCUUAAGCAAGAUCUGAAGAGGGAAUCUGCUUAUCAACCACCAAGCUGCUCCUUGCUGGGCUCCCCCAAGACUGGAAUUCUCAAAUGAACCUGGAAUUUAAAGAAAGAAAAACAGGAUCAAGAAAAGGGAUAUUAAUGGCUUGAGAUUAUGUCCCAUGUUCCAGGGGUGUGUCUCCGUCUAAGUCUGAUGACUAGCUGUGUGACCACAGCAGAUUCCUGGGAUGAAAGGAACCAUCCACCACCAAUCACCACACCACUCACCACCAGCUACAACUAAUACCACUACCACCAUUGCUGACAACAAUAACAAUACCACCACCAACAACAACAACCACCAGGACUUUCAGAAAGGCAUGCUAUCAACAAAGCCUUCCACCAAAUGCAAGGUGGUCUUCAAAGAGAGAAAACAGUUUGCCAAUCCAGAAGAAAUCAGGCACCAAAAACAAGAAAUGUAAGAUAGACCUCUAGCCUACCUCGUUCUCAAGUCUAAGGAGCAGCCUUCUCCCACCAAAGGCACAUAGAGGCUCCCUACCCCCAGAUCAUUCCAUUCAGAAGCCUGGUUGGUUCUCAGGAGACUAGAGCUAAGGGGCUCUGAGUCAUUAUGAGUUGGCAGAGGCCCCAGCUUUUCCUUUGAGCCCUCCACAUCCAGCUUUGAAGAGAAACAUCACAGAAUUUAGAACUAGAAGGGUCCUUCUUGGUCACUUCCAGACAGAGGAACAGAGGCCCACAGUGGGGAAAUGGGCAGUCGUCC